This 485-nucleotide ribosomal RNA is filed under the name uncultured bacterium. RNAcentral describes it as "bacterial SSU rRNA". It matches the Rfam family "Bacterial small subunit ribosomal RNA", at positions 327 to 804 of the family's 1533-position model. The record is from RNAcentral.
CGCCUUAUACUCCUACGGGAGGCAGCAGUGGGGAAUAUUGGACAAUGGGCGAAAGCCUGAUCCAGCCAUGCCGCGUGUGUGAAGAAGGUCUUCGGAUUGUAAAGCACUUUAAGUUGGGAGGAAGGGCAUUAACCUAAUACGUUAGUGUCUUGACGUUACCGACAGAAUAAGCACCGGCUAACUCUGUGCCAGCAGCCGCGGUAAUACAGAGGGUGCAAGCGUUAAUCGGAAUUACUGGGCGUAAAGCGCGCGUAGGUGGUUUGUUAAGUUGAAUGUGAAAGCCCCGGGCUCAACCUGGGAACUGCAUCCAAAACUGGCAAACUAGAGUACGGUAGAGGGUGGUGGAAUUUCCUGUGGAGCGGUGAAAUGCGUAGAUAUAGGAAGGAACACCAGUGGCGAAGGCGACCACCUGGACUGAUACUGACACUGAGGUGCGAAAGCGUGGGGAGCAAACAGGAUUAGAAACCCGUGUAGUCCACGUACCA